Molecule: long non-coding RNA, 210 nt
Filed under: Lathyrus oleraceus (garden pea)
Lineage: Eukaryota; Viridiplantae; Streptophyta; Magnoliopsida; Fabales; Fabaceae
Description: Pisum sativum (pea) long non-coding RNA (PSAT_LNC014441)
Source: RNAcentral
AAAAUGACUCGCGCAAAUGUCGCAUCCACUGCAUACGUAUCUCAUCUGAAUAUGAGAAUCAGAGUCUUCGUAGCUCGGCUGACCUAUGGGUUGGGGAUGUGUGCUCGCUAAGACAUCGCAUCUUAUGCCUACGUAUCUCAUCUGGAAUGAGAAUCAGAGCAAGCCGUAGUUCGGCUAACUACGGGGUUAUGGAUUGGGUUUUGGACGAAC